Molecule: microRNA precursor, 160 nt
Filed under: Prunus dulcis (almond)
Lineage: Eukaryota; Viridiplantae; Streptophyta; Magnoliopsida; Rosales; Rosaceae
Description: sRNA ncRNA
Source: RNAcentral
AAAAGAGGGAUUUUGGAGAAAAUGGGGAAUUUGGUUUGGGGAUUUCAUAUUUGAGAGAAAAGGGGAGUGGAAACAAUGACUGAAAAUUUGAUCUUAAACAUUCUCCCAAAUCUGAAAUCCCCAAAUUAAAUUCCCUCUUUUCUCUCAAAUCCCUCAUUUU